RNA transcript from Spodoptera frugiperda (fall armyworm), 1031 nucleotides. RefSeq lists it as uncharacterized. Lineage: Eukaryota; Metazoa; Arthropoda; Insecta; Lepidoptera; Noctuidae. The record is from RefSeq and is a predicted model, not a curated record. The transcript is spliced from 3 exons.
UUUUUAUGGUAUAAGUCAGUAAACGAGCAGACGGAUCACCUGACGGUAAGCAAUCGCCGCCGCCCAUGGCCAGCCGCAACACCAGAAGCCUUACAAGGACGUUGCCGGCCUUUUGGGGGUUAGGAAUUUACGGGUUGUUGGGGAAUCGGGGAUUGAAAAGGGGGUAAUUGGGCCUCCGAUAACCUCAUUCACACAACGAAACACAACGUGACACUUCAGAAGACUAUGAUGUGUUACUUCGACCAAUUAUCCUAUUGAAGCCAGAUGUAGCUAACUUGACAGUUACUAUACCUAAAGUUCCCGAAUGCCCUCAUGGAGCUGCUGGGGUGAAGGCGUUGGCUUGCGACGAUGAUGCGUGGCCCACCAUAGAGUUUAAGAAUCUCACAGAGUUUAAUGUACAAAGACAUGGAGACCUGAAGACAGCAGGGCACGUGUUUAUUGCCAUCCAUUGUCUAAAGACCCCUUAAGAUACAUAAAUAUCAAAUUGGAGAAACACCGUGAUUUAGACUGGUUUGAAGUAUGAAGCAAAUACAAAGAGGUGAUGUCAUAACUGGAUUUCCUUUUAACAUAAUGCGUGACAAUUUACGGGGAGCGCGGGACGUUACAAACCACCCACUCUCUAUUUUCCGAUUGAUAGGUAGUACAGUACUAAUUCAUAGCACGCAUCUUACCAAAUACAAAAAAAAAAACAUAGGUUACUUGAAUCCGUUUCCUCCAGUGUUAAGCUAUGUGUACCAAUCAUCCACAGCAACGUAGCAUUCCACAUCUCUGGUGGAAAAGCAUCCGAAAUGGUGAAUAAUUGGAAACGUUUUUGCAGUAUGGGACAGCUAGACGGAAAAUAGAGUGGACGUUGUUUGUAAACGUCCCGCGCUCCCCGUAAAGUGUCACGCAUUAUGGUAAAGAGAAAUCCAGUUAUGACAUCUCCUCUUUGCAUUUCCUUCAUGCUUCAAACCUGUCUAAAUCAUAGUCUUUCUCCAAUUUGACAUCCCUUGCCUGAUUACUGUAACCUUGACUUCAUAAUAAAAAUAUUG